Molecule: non-coding RNA, 45 nt
Organism: Schistosoma mansoni
Lineage: Eukaryota; Metazoa; Platyhelminthes; Trematoda; Strigeidida; Schistosomatidae
Source: Rfam
AUUCAGUUGAAGAGUUCAAAAUAGAACGAAAUGCGCGUUUUGAAU